Molecule: transfer RNA, 77 nt
Filed under: Candidatus Peribacteria bacterium RIFOXYA1_FULL_56_14
Lineage: Bacteria; Candidatus Peregrinibacteriota; Candidatus Peribacteria
Also listed under: 9 other names
Description: tRNA-Pro
Rfam family: tRNA
About the family: Transfer RNA (tRNA) molecules are approximately 80 nucleotides in length.
Source: RNAcentral
CGGGGCGUAGCUCAGUUGGCUAGAGUGCCUGCUUUGGGAGCAGGAGGUCGCUGGUUCGAGUCCAGUCGCCCCGACCA